Long non-coding RNA from Fukomys damarensis (Damara mole-rat), 671 nucleotides. RefSeq lists it as uncharacterized. Lineage: Eukaryota; Metazoa; Chordata; Mammalia; Rodentia; Bathyergidae. The transcript is spliced from 3 exons. The record is from RefSeq and is a predicted model, not a curated record.
ACAAAGCAGCACCCGCCCCACGAUCCCACCCGCGAUCCCUCCCCACCCCCUUGCACUGUUAACCAACACAAGUUUUAAAAAGUAGUUAGAGAGCCUGUUGGAACCAGCACCGAGUCUGCGUGUUUUCUCAAAUUAUUGAACUAGAAAGAAAUGAAAACAUCAAAAUACUCUCUUUGUAGCAGGCUCGAAUUGAGCGGCCGCCUCAUUCAGCCCGUGUCUCGGCCUCGCUACAGUGAUGGAGCGGUGGAAGGAAAGGAGAGCGAUUGAAAAGGAGCGAGGCCCAGCGGGGAGCCUCAGACUGCCAUUCGCAGACCGCGGGCGAGCUCUGAACGGUCCGCUCCGGAGGAGAGGAGCGGAGAGGAGAGGAAGAGAUUGACAGAGAAUCCACUGAGCGUUUUCUCUGGAUUGCACAUGUUAGCAGCCUAGAUUCUCUCAACAGCCUUCGGAGACUGGCACAGCUCUUCACCCCAGGGCUCAGAGAGGGAGCUGCUGCCCCCCCAUGCACACCCUCUCUGCUCAGGACUCAAGGCGCCAUGCUGAGCACAUCCGGACAACACAUCAUCCUCUUGGAAGCAAACAGUUCUCAGCACUCGCUCUGUGCCAGAUGCUGGUACAAAUUCAUGUUUCAUUUUGGGGGUUGUUUUGUUUUGUUUUCGAGACAGGAUCUCAUA